RNAcentral lists this ribosomal RNA (2338 nucleotides) under Sericoderus sp. CO953. RNAcentral describes it as "eukaryotic LSU rRNA". It matches the Rfam family "Eukaryotic large subunit ribosomal RNA", at positions 81 to 1868 of the family's 3401-position model. The record is from RNAcentral. Lineage: Eukaryota; Metazoa; Arthropoda; Insecta; Coleoptera; Corylophidae.
UAGUAGCGGCGAGCGAACAGGGAAAAGCCCAGCACUGAAUCCCGCAAUUGUAACCAAUUGCUGGGAAAUGUAGUGUUAAGAAAUAUUCAUUAUCUUGAAUUUUUAUAGCGCGUCCAAGUCUAUCUUGAACGGGGCAAUUACCCAUAGAGGGUGCCAGGCCCGUAGUGACCGUUAUUUAUUUCAAGAGAAUAUUUUCUGAGAGUCGGGUUGCUUGAGAGUGCAGCCCUAAGUGGGUGGUAAACUCCAUCUAAGGCUAAAUAUAACCACGAGACCGAUAGCGAACAAGUACCGUGAGGGAAAGUUGAAAAGAACUUUGAAGAGAGAGUUCAAUAGUACGUGAAACCGUUUAGGGGUAAACCUGAGAAACCCGAAAAGUCGAAAAGAAAGAUUCACUCGCGUUUCAUUAUUUGCGUUCAGAAUGUAUGUGACACAUAACUAUUUAUAGUUAAAUGCACUUGUUUUGCAACGAUCUGAUUUUGAACGUGUGCACUUCUUUCUUAGUAGAACGUCGUAAUUCGUUGAGUGUCAAUUUAAGACUUGUAUGUAAGUUUGUAAAUUUUUUUUCGGAAUUAUUUGCAAGACAUUGCGUUGUUCUAAUUGACUAGCUCGACGGUAUUAAAUUAAAUAAUGCAAAGCCGCAAACUUAGUUUGCGUUCAACUUUUAAACAAGCUAGUUUGUUUAGUUUGGCUAUUGCAUUUAUAUGUCGAUACCGGCUACAAACAGCUGUUUGUUUUUAAUGUUUGAACAGACUUUGAAACAUUUAUUGACGACGCUAUUGUUUUGGGUACUUUCAGGACCCGUCUUGAAACACGGACCAAGGAGUCUAGCAUGUACGCAAGUCAUUGGGAUAUUAAUAAACCUAAAGGCGUAAUGAAAGAAAAAGUUUAUCUUGUAUGAACUUAGGGAAGAUGAGUAAAUUUUAUAUAUUUACUCCGCACUCCCGGGGCAUUUUAUUCUUAUUGCAAGAAAAGGUGCACCAAGAGCGUACAUGCUGGGACCCGAAAGAUGGUGAACUAUGCCUGGUCAGGACGAAGUCAGGGGAAACCCUGAUGGAGGUCCGUAGCGAUUCUGACGUGCAAAUCGAUCGUCGGAACUGGGUAUAGGGGCGAAAGACUAAUCGAACCAUCUAGUAGCUGGUUCCCUCCGAAGUUUCCCUCAGGAUAGCUGGCGCUCGUUUUUACGAGUUUCAUCCGGUAAAGCGAAUGAUUAGAGGCAUUGGGGUCGAAACGACCUCAACCUAUUCUCAAACUUUAAAUGGGUGAGAUCUUUGGCUUGCUUAAAUAAGUGAAGCCUUAGUAUCAAACGUGAAUCAGAGUGCCAAGUGGGCCAUUUUUGGUAAGCAGAACUGGCGCUGUGGGAUGAACCAAACGUCAAGUUAAAGCGCCUAAAUCAACGCUUAUGGGACACCAUGAAAGGCGUUGGUAACUUAAGACAGCAGGACGGUGGCCAUGGAAGUCGGAAUCCGCUAAGGAGUGUGUAACAACUCACCUGCCGAAGUUACUAGCCCUGAAAAUGGAUGGCGCUGAAGCGUUGUGCUUAUACUUGACCGUUAGUAGCAUGUGUGAUUGAAUUUUAUUUGAUCAUAAAGCUCUAAUGAGUAGGAGGGUCGCAACGGUGUGCGUAGAAGGGCUAGCCGUAAGGCUGUCUGGAGCCGCCGUUGGUGCAGAUCUUGGUGGUAGUAGCAAAUACUCCAGCGAGGCCCUGGAGGACUGACGUGGAGAAGGGUUUCGUGUGAACAGCUGUUGCACACGAGUCAGUCGAUCCUAAGCCCUAGGCGAAAGCCGAUGUUGAUGUAGUGUAUUUAAUUUACAUAUUUUAUAAAAAUUAAAACAUACUUAUCUACACAAUAUAUGUAGCUAUAAUUAUCUAUUAGAUUUAUCAAAGUUUAUAAACUGUGUGUUUGUUGAUAAAUAUAUAUAUGUAGAAUAAUAGAUGAUUUGAUUAGAUUUGAUAUGUAGUAUAAAUCUAAAUAAGAAGUUUUAUUAAUGAAUUUUAAUAAAAUGGAAUAAUAACACACACUCGUGUUGGGCGAAAGGGAAUCCGGUUCCUAUUCCGGAACCUAGCAGCGGAACCGUCUUAUAAUCGGGCCCUCAUUGAGAGUUCGUCGGGGUAACCCAAAAUGACUCAGAGACGCCGUCGGAAAAUCCAGGAAGAGUUUUCUUUUCUGUAUAAGCGUUCGAGUUCCAUGGAAUCCUCUAGCAGGGAGAUAUGGUUUGGAACGCGAAGAGCACCGCAGUUGCGGCGGUGUCUGGAUUUUUCCCUCGGACCUUGAAAAUCUGAGAGAGGGCCACGUGGAGGCGUCGCGCUAGAUCGUACCCAUAUCCGCAGCAGGUCUCC